AAGUUGUAAUUUAGAUAGGAAAAUAUAGGGGAGUAGAGGCCUAUAAAUUCAUGGCUUUUAUGAAGCAAAAACUUGCACUCCAAUAACAACAACAACAACAACCCAUAUAGUCCCACAAAGUGGGGUUUAGAAAGGUAAUCUGUAGACGGGCCUUACCCCUACCCGAAAAGGCAGAGAGGCUGUUUCCAAUCUUAUUGCACUCCAAUAACACAUUUUCUUAUAUAUCUUUCUCCCUCUUAUAAGCAAUACUGUUGUUGUCAUGGCUCGCAGUUAUGCACCUAUUAAUUUUAUGUACAAAAAAAAUUCAGCACCCACAAACUUGAAUUCCUAGAUCCGCCACUGUCUCCGAUACUUGCUGUGAGAGACUUGCCGACGAAUGUACCAGCAGAACUCUAAUCAAAACUAACUGAUGGUAAGAGUUUGAUGAGUGAUUGCGGCGGAUACUGCCGCUCGAACAGUGACUGCUAUGAUAGGUAUUGUAAGUAUUGUUACUACGAUGUUAUUAACCACAUCUAUGGCUGCGGCUAAGGGAGGAUCAUCGAUGGCCAACACAAUAUGAAGUCUGUUGCUUCUCACUAUGAGUAGAGAUGUUUAAUUUGUGUGAUGGUUUAUUGUCUUUGCUAGUGUUUUCCUUUUCUCGUUUCAGUUUUUCUUUUUCUCAUGGAAGAAAAUAAAAUCACUGUUUAGAUCUCAGGACAAUGUCAAAUGUAACAUCAAGAUGGGUUGUGUUGGCCUACAAUAACUGUUCGUAUUGUAUAUGGUAAAAAUAGAUCGGUAUAACCAUUUUUUGGACUAAUCAUUUAAAAAUAGUCAGUGCUAAUUAAAAAUAGCCACUAUUUUGCCGUAACAGAAAUCAG
RNAcentral lists this long non-coding RNA (857 nucleotides) under Nicotiana benthamiana. RNAcentral describes it as "long non-coding RNA (NBEN_LNC039889)". Lineage: Eukaryota; Viridiplantae; Streptophyta; Magnoliopsida; Solanales; Solanaceae. The record is from RNAcentral.